This 388-nucleotide long non-coding RNA is filed under the name Ananas comosus (pineapple). RNAcentral describes it as "long non-coding RNA (ACOM_LNC023328)". The record is from RNAcentral. Lineage: Eukaryota; Viridiplantae; Streptophyta; Magnoliopsida; Poales; Bromeliaceae.
AUCCGCCCACUGCGGCAGGCUAAUCUACUAUAAAAAAAAUAAAAAAAAAUUUAAAAUUUGUGGGGAAUUUGGCAUUUGAUAUCAAUAAAUAUAAAUAAUAUAAAAAAAAAAAGUAUAAAGAGAUCUUAUUUAUUCUUUUUCUUGUGAAAAUAAUUUGUUUAGAUGACGAUAAAUUACGCGAAUGUAAAUGUAUUAUUUGAAAAAUAAGAAUGUGAGAAGACGAAAUAUCAGACGUAGAUAGAAAGUGUGAAGGUGAGUAGAAAUUAAGAGGGAUAAGGUAAGGAUAAAGAAUGAAUUAUCGUGUUGCAAAUUCUAUGAGUAAUAAUGUAUAGGUAUAAGUAUAGACGGUCAAAAAUUAGAUUCAACUUUUUCUUUCCCCCUUUUCUAA